UACGUAGGGACCGAGCGUUGUCCGGAAUCAUUGGGCGUAAAGAGCGUGUAGGCGGCUUGCUAAGUCUUGCGUGAAAUCCCGGGGCUCAACCCCGAGCGGUCGUGGGAAACUGGCAGGCUAGAGUGCGGGAGAGGAGAAUGGAAUUCCUGGUGUAGCGGUGAAAUGCGCAGAUAUCAGGAAGAACACCCGUGGCGAAGGCGGUUCCCUGGAACGCAACUGACGCUGAGACGCGAAAGCGUGGGGAGCAAACAGG
RNAcentral lists this ribosomal RNA (253 nucleotides) under uncultured bacterium. RNAcentral's name for it is "partial 16S ribosomal RNA". It matches the Rfam family "Bacterial small subunit ribosomal RNA", at positions 524 to 776 of the family's 1533-position model. The record is from RNAcentral.